Molecule: long non-coding RNA, 262 nt
Organism: Dermochelys coriacea (leatherback sea turtle)
Lineage: Eukaryota; Metazoa; Chordata; Testudines; Dermochelyidae
Exons: 3
Source: RefSeq, a predicted model, not a curated record
AAGGCUGGAUCAGAUAUGGAGGGAAAUGCUAUUAUUUCUCAGAGAGCGAAGGGAACUGGAACAACAGCCAGAGCCACUGCUCUGCACUCAAUGCCUCCCUGGCUGGGAUUGACAGUGACCAUGAAAAGGAUUUCCUGCUGUUGCUAUAAGGGCUUCCUCGAUCGUUGGAUCGGCCUCCAGAGGAAGCCAGGCCAGCCCUGGAGAUGGCCCAACGGCACCAAAUUCGACAACCGGUUUCCGAUAUAGGGUGGUGUUUAUGUGA